GAUGAACGCUGGCGGCGUGCUUAACACAUGCAAGUCGAACGGAAAGGCUCCUGCUUGCAGGGGUACUCGAGUGGCGAACGGGUGAGUAACACGUGGGUGAUCUGCCCUGCACUUCGGGAUAAGCCUGGGAAACUGGGUCUAAUACCGGAUAGGACGAUGGUUUGGAUGCCAUUGUGGAAAGUUUUUCGAUGUGGGAUGAGCUCGCGGCCUAUCAGCUUGUUGGUGGGGUAAUGGCCUACCAAGGCGUCGACGGGUAGCCGGCCUGAGAGGGUGUACGGCCACAUUGGGACUGAGAUACGGCCCAGACUCCUACGGGAGGCAGCAGUGGGGAAUAUUGCACAAUGGGCGCAAGCCUGAUGCAGCGACGCCGCGUGGGGGAUGACGGCCUUCGGGUUGUAAACUCCUUUCGCUAGGGACGAAGCGCAAGUGACGGUACCUGGAGAAGAAGCACCGGCUAACUACGUG
This 465-nucleotide ribosomal RNA is filed under the name uncultured bacterium. RNAcentral describes it as "partial 16S ribosomal RNA". It matches the Rfam family "Bacterial small subunit ribosomal RNA", at positions 28 to 507 of the family's 1533-position model. The record is from RNAcentral.